This 340-nucleotide unclassified non-coding RNA is filed under the name fungal sp. RNAcentral describes it as "partial internal transcribed spacer region". The stretch from base 1 to 46 matches the Rfam family "Eukaryotic small subunit ribosomal RNA", at positions 1786 to 1831 of the family's 1831-position model. The record is from RNAcentral. Lineage: Eukaryota; Fungi.
AAGUCGUAACAAGGUUUCCGCAGGUGAACCUGCGGAAGGAUCAUUAACACGUAUCCAACGUUAAACCCCCCGUGAACCUUCAUUGUGCUGCGGCAAUCCCUGGUAAAUCAUCGCCGAACAGUUUUGAUUCAGGGACCUCUGCAUGGAGUGGGCAGCAGCGCGAGGCAAGUGGCCUGGCAUUCGAAAGAAUGGCGCAGUAACGAUCGCUAGAGGCCGACACGGCCGGCGACCGGGUCACUGGGCUCACGCCCCCCUAUCACCUUUGCAUGAAAACGGGCCUGCGCUUAAUUGUGCGGCCACCAAACUCGAACAACUGUUAACAAUGGAUAUCUUGGUUCUC